Tuber melanosporum (Perigord truffle) is the source of this 77-nucleotide non-coding RNA. The record is from Rfam. NCBI's taxonomy places the organism in Eukaryota, Fungi, Ascomycota, Pezizomycetes, Pezizales, Tuberaceae.
UGGAGCCGUAUGCGAUGAAAGUUGCACGUACGGUUCUUAAAGGGGGAAGUUUUAGUAAUAAAAUAACCUAUCUUGAC